Molecule: ribosomal RNA, 500 nt
Filed under: uncultured Lachnospiraceae bacterium
Lineage: Bacteria; Bacillati; Bacillota; Clostridia; Lachnospirales; Lachnospiraceae
Description: partial 16S ribosomal RNA
Source: RNAcentral
CACGUAGUUAGCCGGGGCUUCUUAGUCAGGUACCGUCUUUUUUCUUCCCUGCUGAUAGAGCUUUACAUACCGAAAUACUUCUUCACUCACGCGGCGUCGCUGCAUCAGGGUUUCCCCCAUUGUGCAAUAUCCCCCACUGCUGCCUCCCGUAGGAGUUUGGGCCGUGUCUCAGUCCCAAUGUGGCCGGUCACCCUCUCAGGUCGGCUACUGAUCGUUGCCUUGGUGGGCCGUUACCCCUCCAACUAGCUAAUCAGACGCGGGUCCAUCUCAUACCGUCUCGGCUUUUCACCCCGAACCAUGCGGUUCUGUGUGCUUAUGCGGUAUUAGCAGUCAUUUCUAACUGUUAUCCCCCUGUAUGAGGCAGGUUACCCACGCGUUACUCACCCGUCCGCCGCUCAGUCAAUUAACAUUCCAUCCGAAAACUUCCUCUUAAUUGCUUCGCUCGACUUGCAUGUGUUAGGCACGCCGCCAGCGUUCAUCCUGAGCCAGGAUCAAACUCU